RNAcentral lists this ribosomal RNA (253 nucleotides) under uncultured bacterium. RNAcentral's name for it is "partial 16S ribosomal RNA". It matches the Rfam family "Bacterial small subunit ribosomal RNA", at positions 524 to 776 of the family's 1533-position model. The record is from RNAcentral.
GACGAGGGGUCCUAGCGUUGUUCGGAUUCAUUGGGCGUAAAGGGUGCGUAGGCGGCGCGGUAAGUCGGGUGUGAAAUCUCGGAGCUUAACUCCGAAACUGCAUUCGAUACUGCCGUGCUUGAGGACUGGAGAGGAGACUGGAAUUUACGGUGUAGCGGUGAAAUGCGUAGAUAUCGUAAGGAAGACCAGUGGCGAAGGCGGGUCUCUGGACAGUUCCUGACGCUGAGGCACGAAGGUCAGGGGAGCAAACGGG